This 371-nucleotide ribosomal RNA is filed under the name uncultured bacterium. RNAcentral describes it as "bacterial SSU rRNA". It matches the Rfam family "Bacterial small subunit ribosomal RNA", at positions 527 to 896 of the family's 1533-position model. The record is from RNAcentral.
GGAGGGGGCAAGCGUUGUUCGGAAUUAUUGGGCGUAAAGGGCGCGUAGGCGGCCAUGCAGGUCGGUUGUGAAAUCCCUUGGCUCAACCAAGGAACUGCGUCCGAAACUGCAUGGCUCGAGUCCGGGAGAGGGUAGUGGAAUUCCCAGUGUAGCGGUGAAAUGCGUAGAUAUUGGGAGGAACACCGGUGGCGAAGGCGGCUACCUGGACCGGAACUGACGCUGAGGCGCGAAAGCUAGGGGAGCAAACAGGAUUAGAUACCCUGGUAGUCCUAGCUGUAAACGAUGAGCACUUGGUGUAGCGGGUAUUGACCCCUGCUGUGCCGAAGCUAACGCAUUAAGUGCUCCGCCUGGGGAGUACGGUCGCAAGGCUG